This is a long non-coding RNA of Oxyura jamaicensis (ruddy duck), 384 nucleotides long. RefSeq lists it as uncharacterized. The record is from RefSeq and is a predicted model, not a curated record. The transcript has 2 exons. NCBI's taxonomy places the organism in Eukaryota, Metazoa, Chordata, Aves, Anseriformes, Anatidae.
UUGUGGGCGCAGGGCGGCUCAGUGGGUGGUAGUGCGCUGCUGCAGGGGGCGAGGGAGGAGACUGGGGGAAAGGGUGCUGGGAAGAGUUCAAGUGCAGGAGGACUUGCAGGCAGGGACUUGAAGAACGGGAGGAAAGAGCUGGCUGGGAAAAUGAGGCUUGCAGGACAUGAAGGAAAUACAGCUCUCAGCAGUGCCACUGCAUUUCCGAGCGGACAGCUGCACCUCUUCAGGUGGAAGCGCCCAGGCCUGGAGCGGCACCCCAGCUAACAGGUAGGAGGCACUAAGAGAAGUACUUGUGUGUGAGGUACCUGCUCCGAAAUGGCCGGAAAGCACCGAGGUUUCUGCUCUCGCCAUUGCUUAGGUCAAAUAAAACAGUGGAGAUGC